RNAcentral lists this ribosomal RNA (646 nucleotides) under uncultured Pseudomonadaceae bacterium. Its description in RNAcentral is "SSU rRNA". It matches the Rfam family "Bacterial small subunit ribosomal RNA", at positions 135 to 776 of the family's 1533-position model. The record is from RNAcentral. Lineage: Bacteria; Pseudomonadati; Pseudomonadota; Gammaproteobacteria; Pseudomonadales; Pseudomonadaceae.
AGUGGGGGAUAACGUCCGGAAACGGGCGCUAAUACCGCAUACGUCCUGAGGGAGAAAGUGGGGGAUCUUCGGACCUCACGCUAUCAGAUGAGCCUAGGUCGGAUUAGCUAGUUGGUGGGGUAAAGGCCUACCAAGGCGACGAUCCGUAACUGGUCUGAGAGGAUGAUCAGUCACACUGGAACUGAGACACGGUCCAGACUCCUACGGGAGGCAGCAGUGGGGAAUAUUGGACAAUGGGCGAAAGCCUGAUCCAGCCAUGCCGCGUGUGUGAAGAAGGUCUUCGGAUUGUAAAGCACUUUAAGUUGGGAGGAAGGGCAGUAAGUUAAUACCUUGCUGUUUUGACGUUACCAACAGAAUAAGCACCGGCUAACUUCGUGCCAGCAGCCGCGGUAAUACGAAGGGUGCAAGCGUUAAUCGGAAUUACUGGGCGUAAAGCGCGCGUAGGUGGUUCAGCAAGUUGGAUGUGAAAUCCCCGGGCUCAACCUGGGAACUGCAUCCAAAGCUACUGAGCUAGAGUACGGUAGAGGGUGGUGGAAUUUCCUGUGUAGCGGUGAAAUGCGUAGAUAUAGGAAGGAACACCAGUGGCGAAGGCGACCACCUGGACUGAUACUGACACUGAGGUGCGAAAGCGUGGGGAGCAAACAGG